This 389-nucleotide ribosomal RNA is filed under the name uncultured bacterium. Its description in RNAcentral is "bacterial SSU rRNA". It matches the Rfam family "Bacterial small subunit ribosomal RNA", at positions 28 to 416 of the family's 1533-position model. The record is from RNAcentral.
GACGAACGCUGGCGGCGUGCCUAACACAUGCAAGUCGAACGGGACCGGGGGCAACUCUGGUUCAGUGGCGGACGGGUGCGUAACACGUGAGGAACAUGACCUUGGCGGGGGAGUAGCCGGCCCAACGGCCGGGUAAGUAACCGCGUACGACCACAUGGGGACAUCCCUGAGUGGUGAAAGCAGCAAUGCGCCGAUGGAGUGCCUCGCGGCCUAUCAGCUAGUUGGUGAGGUAACGGCNCACCAAGGCGACGACGGGUAGCUGGUCUGAGAGGAUGGCCAGCCACAUUGGGACUGAGACACGGCCCAGACUCCUACGGGAGGCAGCAGUGGGGAAUAUUGCGCAAUGGACGAAAGUCUGACGCAGCGACGCCGCGUGUGGGAUGACGGUC